RNAcentral lists this long non-coding RNA (4527 nucleotides) under Salvia miltiorrhiza (redroot sage). RNAcentral describes it as "long non-coding RNA (SMIL_LNC005923)". Lineage: Eukaryota; Viridiplantae; Streptophyta; Magnoliopsida; Lamiales; Lamiaceae. The record is from RNAcentral.
UUAACAGAAUCUCUCACUCUCUCUCUCUCCCCUUAAUGCAUGGUGCUGCUUCACAUUUUGACUUCCAUUUGAAUGGUCUUGGCAGCUGAAGCUUCUGCAAAAACAAGAAGAAUGAAAGUUCUCAUCAGCAUUCUCCUCCUCCUAUCACUCGCCACACACAUCAAUUCCGAUCUCAGCUCCGACACAGCCGCCCUUCUGGAAUUCGCCGAUGCGGUCCCGCACGUGCGUAAUCUCAACUGGAACGCCGCAAAUCCAAUCUGCACUUCAUGGAUAGGCAUCACUUGCUCCAACGACAAUACCAGAGUCGCCGGAGUCCACCUCCCCGGCGUCGGCCUCUUCGGAGAAAUCCCGGCCAACACCAUCGGAAAAUUAGACGCCCUCAAAGUCCUCAGCCUGCGAUCAAACCACCUCAGCGGCGACCUCCCCUCCGACAUCCUCUCCCUCCCUUCCCUCCAAGCCCUCUACCUCCAGCGCAACAACUUCUCCGGCGCCAUCCCCCUCUUCCUCUCGCCCCGCCUCGCCGUCGUCGAUCUCUCCUCCAACUCGCUCUCCGGCGCCAUCCCGCCGUCGCUCGCCGAGCUCAAGAGGCUGGCCGUGCUCAACCUCGAAUUCAAUUCCUUCACCGGAAAUCUCCCCAAUCUCGACAUUCCAACCCUAAAAAUGUUGAAUGUGAGCUACAAUUCCCUAAAUGGCUCCAUUCCCCAAUCCCUAGCUAAAUUCCCCGCUUCAUCCUUCAUCGGGAACGCGGAUCUCUCCUCAGCGCCGUCAGCCUCGUCUUUCGCUGCUCCUCCACAACAAGGCUCCUCUUCUUCUUCUCCUCAGAGUGCCAAGUCGAGGAAACUGAAUACAGGAUCCAUCGUGGCCAUCAGCGUUGCCUGCGCGUGUCUGGCAAUUGUAGCGCUGGCGUAUCUCCUCAUGAUCUGCGUGAAGAAGAGGAAUCAGAAGCACGGCUCCUCCACCAGAGUGAUCAAAGUGAAGACAUCGUCGUCUGACGGCGUCAAGACGGAGAAUCUCAAGUCGGACGAUUUCGGGAGCGGCGUGCAAGGAGCGGAGAAGAUCAAGCUCACAGUCUUCCAAGGCUGCUCCUUCAACUUCGAUCUCGAAGACUUGCUCCGAGCGUCGGCGGAGGUGCUCGGGAAGGGCACUCACGGCACCACCUACAAGGCCAUCCUCGACGAAUCCACCACGGUGGCUGUUAAAAGGCUCAAAGACGUCGCCGUUGCCAAGAAGGAAUUCGAUCAGUACAUGGAGGUCGUGGGCCGCCUCGGCCGCCACCCCAACGUCGUGCCGUUGCUCGCAUACUACUGCUCCAAAGACGAGAAGCUUCUCGUCUACGAGUACAUGCCUUCAGGCAGCUUGUCUGCGGCCUUGCACGGUAUAUAUUCUAUCGAAUUCAUCAUUCAUCAUUCAUCAAUCGUGUUUUAAUAAUUAAUGAUGAGUCUUAUAUAUUGAAAGGCAAUCGAGAUGUAGGAGGAGGUGCACUGGAUUGGGAUUCGAGGCUGAACGUGGCGAUCGGAGCAGCAAGAGGGGUGGCCCACAUUCACUCAGAAGGCGGGGCGAAGUUCAUCCAUGGCAACAUAAAGUCCUCCAACAUACUCCUAAGAGGAGGCCUUGACGGCUGCAUUUCCGACCUGGGCUUGAGCCCGCUGCUAACGGGCUACAACGACGUCAAGUAUCGCGUGGCCGGCUACAGAGCGCCGGAGGUGAUGGAGACGGCGAGGAAGGCCACGCAGAAAUCGGAUGUGUACAGCUUUGGUGUAGUGCUUCUUGAAAUGCUGACGGGGAAGAGCCCCGUGAGGUGCCCCGGGUACGAGGAGGUGGUUGAUCUGCCGAGGUGGGUGAGGUCCGUGGUCCGGGAGGAGUGGACGGCGGAGGUGUUCGACGUGGAGCUGAUCAAGCACGGCGGCGUCGAGGAGGAGCUGGUGCAGAUGCUGCAGAUCGCCUUCUGCUGCGUGGCCAAGGUGGCGGAGGCGCGCCCGUCAAUGGAUGAGGUGGUGGGGAUGAUGGAGAGGGUUCGGCAUCCGGACGUCGAGAACCGGCCGCCGUCCGAGACAACCGGUCCAAGGAUUCAAAUGUGCAGACGCCGUGAAAUGGGAAUAGUAUUGGUGGUGUUGGUAUAUGGUAGGAGUUUAAUUUCUCAAUUGGUUUUGUAUAAGGCCAUAAGAUGUGACAUGGUGUAGUUAUGUAGUGAAGAUUUUUCAUUUCCUAAAGAGGGAUUGGGGGAUGAUGCUUAGCAUCCCUUUCAUUUGCCUUUUGUUUUUUUUUUUUUUUUUUUUUAUAUAUAUAUAUUGUUGGUUGUUUAGGGUCUAGUAUUAAUUAACNAAGUAUUUUGUAAUAUUAGUGUGCUAUUGUCAUGUAAUUUAUGCUUUUUUCAAUUAUUAUGUAAUGUUAUUUUAUAUGUUGUUGGAAUAAAUUAAUGUGCAAUAAUUUAAAUAUAGUAUAAAAAUCAAAAUAAUUAUAUUAUAUUAUGUUAUAAUUAAAUAAAUCAGAAUAAAUAUAAAUAGAAUUAAAUAUAUAUAUAUAAUAUAAUAACUAUAUAAAAAGAUUAAUUUAAUAACAAUUAAAAGUAUCAAAAUAGAAUAUUCCAUUGUAGAGUGAAAUUUUUUUUUUUUUUUAUUUAUAUAUAUAUGUUGGUUGUUAGGGCAGAUUAAUAACAAUAAUAUGUUUUAUUGAAGCUACACGUAUAUGCUCUGCGCAUUUUCGGUUCUUAGAUAAGAGUGAAAAGCUUUUACAUGAUUAUAAAGUUCUCCCUUGAAAACAGUAAGCAUGAUUUUAAUUUUCCACAGCUCGCUCCGCGAAAAGACAAAAUGUAAGUAAAUUAAAAAAAAUACUCAAAUUGACAAAGUGUAAGUAAAUAAAAAAUAUCAAAUUAAAAAAAUGCAUCAAUUCACCAAUUUGGCUUGCUUGACCAAACUAUGAUUAUAUAUCACCCAUACGUGAUGUUGGUUACUAAUAUAAAUCGAAAUAGGCACUCUCCAGUGCAACCGGUUGCACCGUGCAACUGAUUUCUGAAUGAUAUUAUUUUAAAUACAAAUGACACUGAAGAUCAGUGUCAUUUGUAUGUUGAAAUAGUGUCAUUCGGAAAUGUUCAAGUGUCAUUUCCCGAAUAAAGUAGUGUCAUUCUGGCAAUCAGAGUAUUUGUGAAAUCAAAAUUGUGGAUUAGUACGAAUAGAGAUUAACAAUUCCAGAGCGUGAGGGCCGAAGAUCGAAAAAGUUAUAAUUUGAACAAUUUGUAACCGAAUAAUCAAAUAAAAUUGACCAGAAAAUAGCCCGAAUAUGACAAAGUUAAUCUGAAAACUAGUAAGUUUCUUAAUUAGUUGAUUUUUUUUCAUUAUUUCACAACUUUAUUACUUUAUUUUUAAAAUUUAAUUUUUGUUAAGAUUUUCUUUUGAAAUGUAUUUUCAUUCAAUAUUCAAAAGUUAUACUCAUCAUUAUUUUAACACUAACAUUUGCAUCCCGUGCAAUGCACAAGUAAUAUUUUUAUAUUUUUAUAUUGAUACCAACUCAAUUUAUAAAUAUAAUUAAAAAAAUUAAUUUUAAACUGAAUAUAUUUGAAUUGAAUAUUGAAAAAAGAAAUAGACAAGAGUUCACUAUAAAAAAUUGAUAUUAUGACAAAGCAAAAACAAAAAAAAAACUUAAAAAAUGGAAAUAAAAAAGAAUUGAAAAAUAAAUUUAUUUAAAAAAAUGAAAGUGGGGGAGAUUUUUUUUUUAUUUUUAAUCUUUAAAUAAAUAUAAUUUUGUAUUUUAAAUCAAAUACUUACAUAGAAUUAAAUUAAAACUUUUUAUCGUGAUCUUUAAUUUGAUAUGCAUAUUAAAUAAUUUAUAAUCAGUCAAAUUUUAUAUUUUAGAAAGAAAUAAAACAAAAAAAAGAUAAAGAUAAAAAAAAAUAUAAUUACAAAUAAAUCUUUAAUUUUAUUAUAAUUAUAUAAGAGUCAAAUAUCAAACUAGCUUAUUUCUUAUAGUGAAUUAAAAAUUUGCCAGCGUACUCAAAUAAAAAAAUUUAAAAAUUAUUCACUUUUUGUGUUAAAUGACUAAACUGCUCCUAAGAUUAAAAUUAAAAAAAUACUCACGUCACAUCUCACUCUCUCGUCUCGGUCUUUCUGUCUCUCUCAAUUUUUGCUGCAAUCGCAUAAGCUUCAACAAUUGAAUCGUGAUGGAUUAUCAUCGGCGAUCGAUCUAAUUUGGAAAACUAAAACUUGUUUAAAUUCAAUAGAGAAAGGGAGAGACUUACAGAUCUGUAGAUGGUGAAGAUGGAGAGGAAGAGGAGGAGAUGUAGGAAGAGGAGGCUGCGCGCCAUAGGAUGCUUGUUGUGGAAGCUUCUGGGUUUUGGUGUAAUGCGCAGUGAUGUUUGUCAGUAUGUGUGUUUAUAAUAAGUGUUUGAUGAAUUCAAAUUGAAAGGAAAAGGUAAGAAAAUUAGACCAUAAAUUAUUACUAAAAAUGUAGGUUUGGACUUUGGAGUUUGGACGCAGAGAUAGUGUCUAAACUUGUUGUGAUGUAAGCUUGGCUUAGAUCAUUAAUGAAUUCAAU